AGGUAAUGAAUUGCAUGAACUUGAUUGUUUCAUUCUUAUGUUAAUUUGAUAAAUUUAUAGCAUCUAAUUUGUGGACCCUAGUUAUUCACUGUUUUGGUAGAGAAUCUACCUGAGGAUCACUCGGUAGAGAACAUGCAGAGAAUAUUUGCAGAAGCUGGAAAGUAUACAAUAUGUUAUCUAUGAUGGAGUAAGGGCGUGAUUUUUCUGGGGAAGUAGGAUUUAUGGUUUGCUGACCUAUAAAUUGGUUAAGUUUCCAACUUGCUAUUCAAUGUGCGGUAGAAUAAAAGAAACUUGCCACAUCUAUCUGGUACAUUGUUAGAGAAACUAAUGCUCCUGCUGUUUUGUUUUUCAGAAACUAUGGAUUUCCAAACUAACUAAAAUGCAAAAUAAUAAUUUAACUUGGAGAAUAAAGAUGGAUCAGUUGAAAACAAUCAAUAUGGCUUUUAGUGCAAAAUUAAAUCUGGGAAAUAUUUUGUAGAAUAGAGAUGAUGAAGGUGAUGAAGUAAAGCAGGUACUUAUGACAGAUUGGCUAGCCUGGAUGUUUUCCUGGUGCAGCCAUUUCGCUGUGCCGAGCUUUUGGGUGUCAAUCUGAAUGACUAUGCAAUUGACCGCUGUCUGAUUCCUUCUCUAUUUGAGGAAUUCUUUAGGUUCCUUUAACCUUGUUCAUGGAUAUUAAUAAAGUUGUUACUUUGUUAACAUAUUAUGUGGUCUUUUUACCUGCAUUUUGACAUGUAUUGUUGAUGGUUCCAGAAACUGGCCAUCUAGACUGAAAUAUUUUUAUUCUGAACUUUCCUCUCUCUUUACAUUCUACUGCGAUUUGAACUAUUUCUGUUAUUUACCUGAUAUUUUGGGUAAUGGGAAGAAUUGAUAAUGCCUACUCUAAUGUAUCCACUUUUCCAAAUGGUAGAAUUAUUUUAAUAACCCAAGGAUUCGGUUAGUUUGUCACUUUCUCGGUACAUGUUACUGAUAGCUAAGAUUCGGGUUUGUUUGAUUUGGAUAUUGGUUUUGUGCCCAUGACAAAGUACUGAUUUUUCUUUGAUCCUUAGUUGUAGAAUCCAAAAUAGAAUAUACACCGGAAUCUUUAUACAUAUCUUGUUUCCAUCUUUUGAUUCUUCUUUAGCUCCUGUGUUAUUGGAUGGUUUCUUUGGGCUGCAUGCUUAUGAGGCUAAAAUGAUUUACGUUUAUUUUAAAGCUUCCUAACUGCUUAAAGUUUUCAAACCUGUAUCUAUCUUUUUAUAUGAUGGGAAAUUAGGAAUACCUGUAUCAAUCUUUUCCUAUAACUCUAUUUUCAUAUUUAUGGUUUGUCUUUCUUGCAGUUCCAAUAUCAGUUAUUGCUUCUUUUAGGAAAUUGAAGAGGCUUACCCGAAACCAUGCAUGGAUAGUGGCUGCACUCAGGGAAUCAUCCUUGCUUGUAAGCUGCUUCUUUCCUUUGCAAUAAUAAUGAUUAGGGUGUUGAUGUUAUCUACAUAUCUGAAGUGAUAAAAUGCAACGUCACUUGUGCCUUCUGCGUUGAGGCAGAUGUUAAUGGUAGCUUCUUAAUAAUUCAAUGAUUCCAGUUAACUAUGAUGUAAAGGGUGUUUAUUCUUUAAUUAUUUCCUAAUUUCCCUUUUUAAAUAAAAUAAAAAUUAAAGGUUGUGAGUUCAAAUGGGAAGAAGGUAAAGCGCCUUAAUCCUCUGCCAGUCACUGAAGUCAGGGAUCCUAAGGUAAUGAAUUGCAUGAACUUGAUUGUUUCAUUCUUAUGUUAAUUUGAUAAAUUUAUAGCAUCUAAUUUGUGGACCCUAGUUAUUCACUGUUUUGGUAGAGAAUCUACCUGAGGAUCACUCGGUAGAGAACAUGCAGAGAAUAUUUGCAGAAGCUGGAAAGUAUGUACUUUGUUUUUAAAGUAAAAUGAAAAAAAAAAAAAAAAAAUUGUUCCUUUACAAAGUUUUAUUCAGUGAGCUAUUUUUCUUCUUUUUUCGAUUUGAUUGUAUAGUUCUUUUUUUUCAGAAU
Molecule: long non-coding RNA, 1989 nt
Filed under: Citrus sinensis (sweet orange)
Lineage: Eukaryota; Viridiplantae; Streptophyta; Magnoliopsida; Sapindales; Rutaceae
Description: long non-coding RNA (CSIN_LNC000510)
Source: RNAcentral